GCUGGGCGUGGUGGUGCACACCUGUAAUCCCAGAGGCUUGAGAGGCUGAGGCAGGGGGAUUGCAAGAUCAAACCCAGCCUCAG
Molecule: small RNA, 83 nt
Filed under: Marmota monax (woodchuck)
Lineage: Eukaryota; Metazoa; Chordata; Mammalia; Rodentia; Sciuridae
Source: RNAcentral